GACGAACGCUGGCGGCGUGCUUAACACAUGCAAGUCGAACGGUGAAGCGCCUUCCUUUUUGGUGGGUGUGGAUGAGUGGCGAACGGGUGAGUAACACGUGAGUAACCUGCCCCCUUCUUCUGGAUAACCGCAUGAAAGUGUGGCUAAUACGGGAUAUUCUGGGUCUGUCGCAUGAUGGGUCUGGGAAAGAUAUUGUUUCGGUGGGGGAUGGGCUCGCGGCCUAUCAGCUUGUUGGUGGGGUGAUGGCCUACCAAGGCGGUGACGGGUAGCCGGCCUGAGAGGGUGGACGGUCACACUGGGACUGAGACACGGCCCAGACUCCUACGGGAGGCAGCAGUGGGGAAUAUUGCACAAUGGGCGCAAGCCUGAUGCAGCGACGCCGCGUGAGGGAUGGAGGCCUUCGGGUUGUGAACCUCUUUCGCCAGUGAAGCAGGCCUGCCUCGUCUGUGGGUGGGUUGACAGUAGCUGGAUAAGAAGCGCCGGCUAACUACGUG
RNAcentral lists this ribosomal RNA (494 nucleotides) under uncultured bacterium. RNAcentral describes it as "partial 16S ribosomal RNA". It matches the Rfam family "Bacterial small subunit ribosomal RNA", at positions 28 to 507 of the family's 1533-position model. The record is from RNAcentral.